UUUACAGACGAAACAUCUGGUCAAAAGUCAAACCUUUUCUCUUUCACUUUCCUUCUCCCGUCAUCUACUUCUGACCAAAACCCCUCUACCUAUCCCCAAACCUUAUACCCCUCAUUUUCUCAAAUGGGUAUUUCUUAAAAUUUCCAUUUUUUGUACUUUUUUUCAGCUCAAAAAACCAACCAGAAAGGCUCAAGCUACGACGUUUUUGAGCUGAUGGAUGAAGAAUUCGAGAGGAAGAGGAUUGAAGUUAAGGCUAUGGAAGCUUUGGGCUGUGGGUUUGAUUUUGCUAGCGAUUUCAGGUUGAAGUUCGUAAAAAGAUGUCCAAACGGGGGUAGAUUGGUAAUUUUGGAUGAGAGUAAUAGACGGAACGUCGUCAUCCCCGGCGGCGUUACAAUUCCCGAUGUAUCUGAAAAUAUCCGAUGUGAUAAAGGGGACCACAUUCGUUUCAAGUCUGAUGUUCUCGAAUUUAAUCAGAUGUCAGAAUUGCUAAAUCAAAAAUCAUCAAUACAUGGAAAGGUUCCAUCAGGCUAUCUAAAUGCCAUUUUUGAUUUAAGUGGAGCCUGGUUGAAUGAUUCAGCAGAUGCUAAGUACCUCGCGUUUGAUGGUUAUUUUGUCUCGUUAUACUAUUUGCACCUGACAGCAUCCCCAUUAGUACUCCAUGACCAAGUGAAGAAAGCUGUUCCACCGCAUUGGGAUCCAGCAUCCUUAUCCAGAUUUAUUCAGGCUUAUGGGACACACAUAAUUGUGGGUAUGGGUGUUGGAGGCCAGGACCUACUUUGUGUUAAGCAGAAACCAUCUUCAACAGUUCCUCCUGCUGAGCUAAAAGCACACUUGGAUGACCUCGGAGAUUGUCUCUUUUCUGAUGAAGCAAGCCCUCUGCCUGAGUGGAAGGCAAAAGAGGGUAAAAAGAAGGUCCCCGAGGUAUUCAAUCGCAUGUUGCAGUCGCAUACCAUGCAAUUUACUAGCAUAACAGAGACAUCAAGCAAGGAUGGUCUCACUAUAAUUUGGUCAAAAAGAGGUGGUGAUGUGUUUGCACAAAGCCACUCGAAGUGGCUUCAGACUGUGGCUGCUUACCCUGAUGGCAUACUCUUCAAACUUGUACCGAUUACUUCGCUCUUAACAGGAAUACCAGGAAGCGGUUAUCUCAGCCAUGCAAUAAAUUUAUAUCUACGCUAUAAGCCUGCUCUAGAGGAUUUACAGUGUUUCCUCGAGUUUCAAGUUCCUAGCCAGUGGGCGCCAUUGUUCUGCGAGCUGCCUCUUAGCCAUCAAAGAAAAGUGGCAUCUUGCCCUGCAUUGCAGUUCUGUUUAUUCGGCCCAAAGCUUUGUGUGAGACCUACCCAGGUUACAAGUGGUCAAAAACCCGUCAUUGGUUUGCGCUUGUAUUUAGAAGGGAAGAAAUGCAACCACUUAGCCAUACAUGUACAACAUCUUUCUAGUUUACCAAACAUUAUGGCAUCUAAGUCUGUUAAUAACCUAACCUUAUGCAAGCCAUGUCAAUGGCGAGGCUCCGAUGAUUAUGAAUCUAGCGACCAAUUCUUAGAUCCUGUCAGAUGGCCGAGAUAUUCCAACGUGUGCUCAUCUGUAGUUAAGCAUGAUCCAAGCUGGAUGCAGGGCGAAACGAGUGGCGUCUUUGUGGUAACUGGUGCACACCUUGUC
RNAcentral lists this unclassified non-coding RNA (1656 nucleotides) under Hevea brasiliensis (rubber tree). The record is from RNAcentral. Lineage: Eukaryota; Viridiplantae; Streptophyta; Magnoliopsida; Malpighiales; Euphorbiaceae.